RNAcentral lists this ribosomal RNA (839 nucleotides) under Zalonema sp. ND020. RNAcentral describes it as "SSU rRNA". It matches the Rfam family "Eukaryotic small subunit ribosomal RNA", at positions 109 to 952 of the family's 1831-position model. Lineage: Eukaryota; Metazoa; Nematoda; Chromadorea; Desmodorida; Desmodoridae. The record is from RNAcentral.
GCCGUUGUUUCUUGGAUCUUGUUUUACUUGGAUAACUGUGGUAAUUCUAGAGCUAAUACAUGCAACUAAGCUCUGACCUCACGGGAGGAGCGCAUUUAUUAGACCAAGACCAAUCGGGCUCUGCCCGUCAAUCUGGUGACUCUGAAUAACUUUGCUGAUCACACGGUCUUUGCACCGGUGACAUAUCUUUCAAGUGUCUGCCCUAUCAACUGUCGAUGGUAGUUUAUGUGCCUACCAUGGUUGUAACGGGUAACGGAGAAUAAGGGUUCGACUCCGGAGAGGGAGCCUGAGAAAUGGCUACCACAUCCAAGGAAGGCAGCAGGCGCGCAAAUUACCCACUCUCAGCUCGAGGAGGUAGUGACGAAAAAUAACGAGACGGUUCUCUUUGAGGCCCGUCAUCGGAAUGGGUACAAUCUAAACCCUUUAACGAGGAUCUAUUGGAGGGCAAGUCUGGUGCCAGCAGCCGCGGUAAUUCCAGCUCCAAUAGCAUAUACCAAUUCUGCUGCUGUUAAAAAGCUCGUAGUUGGAUCUACUCCGAGGGCCCAGUCUGCCUAAUGGGCAUGUACUGGGUUCCGAGGAUGCUUUAUGCUGGUUUUCCCAUGGUGCUCUUCAUUGAGUGCCUUGGGUGGCUAGCACGUUUACUUUGAAAAAAUUAGAGUGCUCAAAACAGGCGUUACGGCCCGGAUAGUGGUGCAUGGAAUAAUGGAAUAGGAUCUCGGUUCUAUUUUGUUGGUUUUAGGAGCGCGAGAUAAUGAUUAAGAGGGACAGACGGGGGCAUUCGUAUUGCGGCGUUAGAGGUGAAAUUCUUGGAUCGCCGCAAGACGAACAACUGCGAAAGC